Molecule: ribosomal RNA, 253 nt
Filed under: uncultured bacterium
Lineage: Bacteria
Description: partial 16S ribosomal RNA
Rfam family: Bacterial small subunit ribosomal RNA
Source: RNAcentral
UACGAAGGGGGCGAGCGUUGUUCGGAAUUACUGGGCGUAAAGGGCGCGUAGGCGGCGACUCAAGUUAGAUGUGAAAGUCCUGGGCUUAACCUGGGGACUGCAUUUGAUACUGGGUUGCUUGAAUUCGGGAGAGGAUGGCGGAAUUCCCAGUGUAGAGGUGAAAUUCGUAGAUAUUGGGAAGAACACCGGUGGCGAAGGCGGCUAUCUGGACCGACAUUGACGCUGAGGCGCGAAAGCGUGGGGAGCAAACAGG